Molecule: ribosomal RNA, 254 nt
Filed under: uncultured bacterium
Lineage: Bacteria
Description: partial 16S ribosomal RNA
Rfam family: Bacterial small subunit ribosomal RNA
Source: RNAcentral
UACGAAGGGGGCAAGCGUUGUUCGGAAUUACUGGGCGUAAAGGGCUCGGUAGGUGGCCAACUAAGUCAGACGUGAAAUCCCUCAGCUUAACUGGGGAACUGCGUCUGAUACUGGAUGGCUUGAGUUUGGGAGAGGGAUGCGGAAUUCCAGGUGUAGCGGUGAAAUGCGUAGAUAUCUGGAGGAACACCGGUGGCGAAGGCGGCAUCCUGGACCAACACUGACACUGAGGAGCGAAAGCCAGGGGAGCAAACGGG